AUACUUACCUGGCAGAGGAGAUACCAUGAUCAUGAAGGUGGUUUUCCCAGGGUGAGCCUCACUCACUGCACUGCGAGUGUGCUGACCCCUGUGAUUUCCCCAAAUGGGGAAAACUCGACUGUGUAAUUUGUGGUGGCGGGGUACUGCGUGCGCGCUCUCCCCUG
Molecule: small nuclear RNA, 164 nt
Organism: Balaenoptera musculus (blue whale)
Lineage: Eukaryota; Metazoa; Chordata; Mammalia; Artiodactyla; Balaenopteridae
Gene: U1
Rfam family: U1 spliceosomal RNA
About the family: U1 is a small nuclear RNA (snRNA) component of the spliceosome (involved in pre-mRNA splicing). Its 5' end forms complementary base pairs with the 5' splice junction, thus defining the 5' donor site of an intron. There are significant differences in sequence and secondary structure between metazoan and yeast U1 snRNAs, the latter being much longer (568 nucleotides as compared to 164 nucleotides in human).
Source: Ensembl